AUUGUCCCUCUUGAAGUUGUCUUAGCAAGCCAAGGACAAGGCUGUGAUGAUUUCAACAACCAACUAAAAGGCAGAGGAAAUUGAGUGAAGUGGUGGCCUCGUCUGGGGAAAUAAACCUGCUAGUAAAAGUUUCAGUUGUGCAGAGAAAAAAGCUCUUCACGUGCCUCCAAGGGUCGGAUCAGUUUCAAUCCCUAACCUGGCAUGAAUGCAGUCACUCCGAGUUGUCCUUUCCACAGUGUGAAUCAUCAGUGGACAUUGGUCUUUUCUGAGGAGGAGAAGAAGCUUCCUUCUGUGUGUCUACAGCAAUGACCAGUAACUUCUUCCUUCCAGGCAUAUCUCCUCUUUCUUGUCUAUGUUUUGUUUUUGUUUUUUUUUACUCCUCCACUGUGUCCAGCCUUCCUCCCCCCCCGUCCAUACACACACACCUGGAACAAUGCAGAACAUUUCAUGGCCUCCCCUGCAUGAGACAGUAAGGACAACAUCUCGUUUUCAAAAUUAAAAGUGUGCCACAAAUAUAUGAAAUUAGUAUUAAAGCAACAGUAUGGUUAACUGAAAAAUUAACAUGAAAUAGCCCCAAACUACUCAUAGUUAAGGAACAACUUACACUAAGCUGAGAUGAGUGACUGUUUUUAAGAUUACGUGCUGGAAAAUGUGUACAAUCUUUCUUUCUUUUGCUGCAGGGUUGAUGUCUUAUAAAAUUAAUAAUAAAGAACAAACAAGAAUUUGCCUUUUAAGCUACAUAAGAAGUUGCCUAGAGCUCAAGAGUACAACACUUCCUUUUGUACUUAUAAUUCUUAGCAUAAUAAUGUAACAGUUUUUAGAGCACUAUUCAGUUAAGUUUCUGUGGUAUGCUUUUAUGCCUCCACCUUUCCAUUAAUGCAGAGAAGGACUUUGGAAGAACUACACCUCCCUCUGAGUAGGCUAAAAUUCUGUGAAGUAUUUAGGGGUUCUUUUCUUUUCUACAGAAGUCACACACGGGAGAAUAUCUCGUGUGGAUAUACAGAGAUUUACACAAAGUGCUUUCAUUAGCACUAAUAGAAACAUAAAUAGUUAUGUGCCAACUCUCUCUUAACAUUUUAAACCAGCACAGAAUAAACAUUCAUGUCAAACACCAAGGGAGCUGCAUCUAGAUUCAAUAAAGUCUGAAGUAAAUGUUUUCCAUAGUCACAGUUUGAUUUAGAUUAAUUUGAAUAAUGUUUUGAACCUUGCUGUGUAAGUUUAAACUCAGCUUGCCAUUUGAAAGUCAAAAUAUCCCGGCCAUAAGCAAUGCCUAUAGUUCCAAGUAAGAGCUACAGCAGUUUGCAUAUAAUUUACUUUGUAAAGGUCUGUUGGCUGUGGCUUUUUGUUUGCUUGCUUGCUAGAUUAGCUGGAUCUUUGCAAGUGCGCACACGCAAACACAUUUUAUUUAAAACUAAUUAUGGCAUUUAUUUUUAA
Molecule: long non-coding RNA, 1434 nt
Organism: Lagopus muta (rock ptarmigan)
Lineage: Eukaryota; Metazoa; Chordata; Aves; Galliformes; Phasianidae
Exons: 3
Source: RefSeq, a predicted model, not a curated record